AAUGGGGGCAACCCUGAUCCAGCCAUGCCGCGUGCGGGAAGAAGGCCUUCGGGUUGUAAACCGCUUUCGGCCGGAACGAAAUCGCCGGGGAGAACAUCUCCGGUGGAUGACGGUACCGGAAGAAGAAGCACCGGCUAACUACGUGCCAUCAGCCGCGGUAAUACGUAGGGUGCGAGCGUUAAUCGGAAUUACUGGGCGUAAAGCGUGCGCAGGUGGUUCGCUAAGACAGAUGUGAAAUCCCCGGGCUCAACCUGGGAACUGCGUUUGUGACUGGCGGGCUAGAGUGCGGAAGGGGGAGGUGGAAUUCCACGUGUAGCAGUGAAAUGCGUAGAGAUGUGGAGGAACACCGAUGGCGAAGGCAGCCUCCUGGUCUAGCACUGACGCUCAUGCACGAAAGCGUGGGUAGCAAA
This 410-nucleotide ribosomal RNA is filed under the name uncultured bacterium. RNAcentral's name for it is "bacterial SSU rRNA". It matches the Rfam family "Bacterial small subunit ribosomal RNA", at positions 370 to 772 of the family's 1533-position model. The record is from RNAcentral.